This 358-nucleotide transfer-messenger RNA is filed under the name Elusimicrobiota. Its description in RNAcentral is "UBA8919 sp002780205 Standard tmRNA". It matches the Rfam family "transfer-messenger RNA". From Rfam's summary of the family: Bacterial tmRNA, also known as 10Sa RNA or SsrA, is named for its dual tRNA and mRNA-like properties. Its role is to liberate the mRNA from a stalled ribosome. To accomplish this part of the tmRNA is used as a reading frame that ends in a translation stop signal. Lineage: Bacteria; Pseudomonadati. The record is from RNAcentral. RNAcentral also lists the same sequence under 1 other name.
GGGGGUGAACAGGGCUCGACGGGAAUAUUUGUUUGAUGUGUUGCAGACCGCAGUUAACCGAACGGCUGCGUUAAAAAUCGGUUAAACAAAAUAACUGCCAAUUAUUCACCGGUAGUUGCUCACGCUUAAACCGCGUUGAGCCGCCUUCCCGGUCUUUUUUCUGCGAGGUCGGGGUAAGGUGUCAUAAAGCAGGAUAGUUGUCGGCAAUGCUGCGUUACCGACGGCGAAAUUCAGCAGCUAGCGUUAAACAGAUUCUGUCGGCGGAAGCGGUUUAAUGCGAAAUAAAACACCGACUAUGUCUGUAGUAGCCGUCACACGUUAUUUUCGGACGCGGGUUCGAUUCCCGCCACCUCCAUUG